GGGACACAGUAUACGGGAGUUUCUCUUUGAGGCAUAUUGGACCAUAGAGUUCUCGAUUCAGGAUGCGUUGGGAUACCCAUCUACUGUUUACUUUGAUUGCGUAACGCACUACACGUCAUAGAGAUCAUAUUCAAUUCGGUAUAUUCAAUUGUAUUCUAAUUCCUCAUUCUAUGCUAACAUCAAACUUGCGUCAUAAUAGCGUUGCAGGCACCUGCUACUUAUGUGGCCCACAACCACCUGUAACGGUCAGAUAGAAACCUUCAGUGUUCCGGACAGAGCAGUAACGUUGCUUCAACCCCACAUUUUCCAUUGGUAAAAGAGCGCGCAAUCACCAUAACAGCACUGGAUCGAAGCGGACGCGUAUCUUUCAUAUCCGAGUGAUCAUGACGAUGUCGGACUGAAGAACUUGACAUGUUUACCACUUCAGCAGAAUACCUGGGCCUCCGUGUGCCCCAGCUCCUGCACACAUCAGAUGAGUUCGGCUCAGAUCGUGUCAUCGGGCUCAACCUUUUCCUGAUUCUCCUCUUGCUCCUGUUCUGGGCUAUCCAUCUGCGUAAAAACGAUGAUGAUGUCUUCGGGGAGAUUGACCCAGAGCUGGUCACUAAGUUCAUAGAGGGAGUGCAGCUCAACUACAGCUACCUCAAACAACUGGAGGAACUUCUGGACAUGAAGAAGUCAGAGAUAGAGGACCUCACCUCUGAGAUGGACCUGGACUGCUGCUCUGAAUCCAAGUCAUGCUCUGACUCAUGCUGCUCAAGAUCAUCUUCUAGAUCACAUUCUAGAUCUUCUGUAUCCUCUAGAUCUAGUGAUGGCAGCACAUGCCAAACCUGUAAGAAACGGCCUCCAACUGACAGGUUUAAAUACCCGAAAAGCUGUAGGCCAGAUGGUCAAGAUAGUCCCUGCCCUCCAGUUAAUCCCUGCCCUCCAGUUAAUCCUAGCCCAGUGAGUAGUCCUAGCUCAAAGGCCACUCCUUGCCUCCAGCUACCAGGAGGUGGGGAUGAUGAGGACAGUUACCAUGGCUCCACUCUCUCCUCCCGCAGCUCCUCUAGGUACGUGUCUCCUUCUGACUCCCCUCUGCCCCUUGAAUACCAGCCCAGCCCUCAUCAGCCUGCUGCUACUGGUUGGAGGCGAAACUGGACUUUGAUGGAGACCAAAGCGGACUCUGUGACUAGUCCUGUGGCAGCUCCUUCUACUGUCACGUUCCCUGACUGCAAAGACAGAGCUGCUGACCUCACAGACCAUACAAACUGGUCCAAGACCACUCCAGACCAUUCCAAGACCACUCCAGACCACUCCAAGACUCCGACGGUGAGACAGAUUCUGACGGUGAGACAGCUGUUUGAGGUAGUGCCGAGGAAAGCAGACCCACCCCUCCUGCACCGCUGGCACCGCAGACGCCUGGAACUCAACGUGACGCAGAAGGUGGCCCGCAAUCGCUGGAGGAUUGCUGUGCUGAUGAUCUCAAUCGUUAGGUGGCUGCUCGCCGAGAGGCUGAAGGGAGGAGGCACCACGAGCUCAACCUCCCCCCCAACGUCCACCACUACCACCCACUCCAACACCUCAACCACCUCUCAGGCUAAGAAAGGAUCCGAGAUCAUUAGGAAAACUGUCAGCAUUCCAGCCUUCUUCCCACAGGGUGUAAACCCUCCACCUCACUCCCAG
Molecule: long non-coding RNA, 1662 nt
Organism: Oncorhynchus tshawytscha (Chinook salmon)
Lineage: Eukaryota; Metazoa; Chordata; Actinopteri; Salmoniformes; Salmonidae
Source: Ensembl